GCCAAGUAUAUGCGUGUCUGCCGAUUAAAACCAAGGGCAGCAAGCAUUAGCACUGUCUCUUCAGGCAUUAAAGGACACAAUCCUUCAGCCUUUAGAGUUGCUGGGGAAGGCAACUUUGUGGUCUUCUUGAGUUCCACUAAUGCAGGGAAGUGGAUUUCACGAUAUAAUUCCAGUUCAUUUCUUUCUUCUUCACCCCCACCAUAUUCACAGAGGGAAUGAGCCACCAUAUCAAUUUCAAACCUCAGA
RNAcentral lists this unclassified non-coding RNA (246 nucleotides) under Hevea brasiliensis (rubber tree). Lineage: Eukaryota; Viridiplantae; Streptophyta; Magnoliopsida; Malpighiales; Euphorbiaceae. The record is from RNAcentral.